Long non-coding RNA from Helianthus annuus (common sunflower), 386 nucleotides. RefSeq lists it as uncharacterized. NCBI's taxonomy places the organism in Eukaryota, Viridiplantae, Streptophyta, Magnoliopsida, Asterales, Asteraceae. The transcript is spliced from 2 exons. The record is from RefSeq and is a predicted model, not a curated record.
CCCAGCAGCCCACUUUCCCCUUUUCUUGGAUUUCUUUGUUUUCAGUCCAAUUAUCACAAACCGCCCCAAGACGUACCUUAAUUACGUAUUAGUUGCAUAUGGCACCAUAACAGUUUCAAAUCCCAACCCUAACUUACGAACUACCACUUUUUCCUCUUAUCUUGCUACUGCCGACGAAGAACAAGACCACCCAUGGCUUCCGGUGUUCGGUUCAAGGCUCUUUUAUGGUCCCCUCCAUCGCUAGGUCGCUAAGGUACUUGCCACGGUUAGGUGCACUGCGUGAUGUCAAAAACCUUUUCGUCUCGUAACAUUGCAUUUAUUACAUUUAUUUUUUGUUGGAUAGGGCAUUUGUUUUGACGUACGUUUUUACCUUACAUUUAUUACUC